Molecule: ribosomal RNA, 3483 nt
Filed under: Triticum aestivum (bread wheat)
Lineage: Eukaryota; Viridiplantae; Streptophyta; Magnoliopsida; Poales; Poaceae
Description: partial small subunit ribosomal RNA
Source: RNAcentral
AUGAGACAACUUUGCACAACUUCUUACAGACAUGUGCUAAAAAAUUAUAUCAUUAUUGCAGGGUUCCAAAUCAUGAUGUCUGCAGCUGUAGAGCAGAUAGCUGGUGGUUUCUCAUCUGCAGUUAUUCAACGUGUUGUUGACAAGACAAUGGACUUCCUCGAGAGCAACUACAAUGUAAGCCAUGCUACUGAAGAGCUUCUGACCAAACUCCGCACAAGCCUCACCGUCGUGAAGGCCAUAACCGAGGUGGCUGACAACCAGCUUAUCGUCAGCACUAGUCUUACCAACUGGUUGAGGAACCUCCACAGUGCUGCCUAUGAAGCGGAGGAUGUGCUUGACAGAUUUGAUUGUCAUGAGAUAGUUGCCGGAAAGCGCAAGGUGAGUGAGCUCAUUUCAUCAUCCGUCAGGGCCCUCAAAAGUUUGAUUGUGCCUGAUGAGAGUAUGAAAAGGCUUGAAUGUGUUGUGCAAAAGCUAGACCACCUUUGUGCAACGUCCAACACAUUUGUUGAGCUAAUGAAGCAGAGUAAUUUAACCACCAUGAAGGAGGAAGGAAUUCGGAGAGAGACUACUUCUCGUGUUCCAGUUGAUGUCAAGGUGUUUGGCCGCGAUGAAGUUCUAGAGUUGAUACUGAAAAUUAUUUUGGGUUCAUCUAGCUCUGAACCAGAAUCCAGCAGCUUAAGAGCAAAACUUGGGGCAAGGUACUGCGUUGGCGGUGUUGAUGUCGUCCCAAUUGUUGGUAUGAGUGGGGUUGGGAAGACAACCCUUGCUCAAAUUAUUUACAAUCAUGAAAAUGUGAAGCUUUACUUUAAGCACAGAGCAUGGGUGUAUGUUUCAAAACACUUCAGCAUGAAAAGGACAUUGCAAGAGAUGUUGUGCUCUUUUAAAGGAAAUGAUUCGUCUUUUGACUACACUGAUAGUUUGGAAACAAUUGUCAACAAUAUUCAAAAUGUCUUCCACCCUGAAGAAAGGUUCCUUCUUGUGCUGGACAGUGUUUGGGAUGAGAUGUGUGACCAGUGGAGUAGUUUGCUUACUGCCAUAGCUCGUGAAGUGCCAGGAAGUGUAGUUGUUGUCACAACACAAAGCAAAAGGGUUGCCGAUACAGUGGCGACAAUAUGUCAAGUUCCACUAGCACCUUUGCCAUGGGAGAGUUUUUGGCCAGUGUUCCAGUAUUAUGCAUUUGGCACAAGCAAUGUUGUGGUUGAGAACAAUCCGACUCUUUUGUUUAUUGGUGAGAAAAUAGCAAGAAAACUAGAGGGUCUUCCAUUAGCAGCAAAAGUAAUGGGAAAUCUAUUGAGGUCUAGAUUAACUAUAGACCAGUGGAGAAGCAUCCUGGAGAGUGAUUGGUGGGACCGGAGUGACGUUUUAUGUGAAAUCCUUCCAUACAUGGGAAUUAGUUAUCAAGAUCUACACCCUAGACAGAGGCAGAGCUUUGCUUUCUGUUCGAUCUUUCCACAGAACUACUUGUUUGAUAAGGAUAGAUUGGUCAGUAUGUGGAUUUCUCAUGAUUUCAUCCAACACAGUGGAUUUGAUGGAACUAGAUUAGAGGAUAUCGGAGAUCAGGUUUUUGAUGAACUUGUACAAAGAUCAUUUUUUCAGUCUACAUUCGACAACAAGAGGUACACUAUGCACGAUCUAGUAAGGGCUCUUGCAAUUGCUGUUUCUUCAUAUGAAUGCUUCUUCCACAAAGAGACCUCCCAGAGAGCAUCACCAACUGUUCGCCACUUGGCUCUGCAAGUUGGCAAUCAAAUGCAAAUUCAUGAACUCAACAAGUAUAAGAAUCUGCGGACAAUCUUAUUGUUUGGCCAUUGUGACAGUAAUGCAAUUUGUGAUGUUGUGGACAAUAUGUUGGUCAACUCAAGAAGCAUUCGAGUGUUAGACUUGUCUCAUUUGGAGGUGAUGACGAAUAUGCUGCCUAGCAUUGCAUCCUUGAGAAAUUUGAGGUUCUUAGAUCUUUCUUUCACAAGAUUCAGCAAUUUGCGCAACUUCCCUUGCAAUCUUCAAGUUUUAUACCUCCGUGGAUAUGCUCGCAAUACUAUUCCUCAAACCAUCAACAUGCUUGCCAACUUACGGCACUUGUAUGUUGAUGCUACAGCUCUCUCUCUGAUUCCUGGUAUUGGGCAGCUAAGUCAACUUCAAGAAUUGGAGAACUUCAGUGCUGGAAAGAGAAAUGGAUUCAUGAUAAGUGAGUUGAAGUACAUGCAAGAGUUAUCUGGGAAACUUUGCAUCAGUAACAUCCACAUCAUCAAGAACAAACAUGAGGCAAUGGAUGCCAAUAUGAUUGAGAAGAAGCACCUUGAGGCCUUGGAGUUGAAGGGGAGAAAUGUAUCCAAAGAUGUACUUGAAGGAUUGCAGCCACACCCUAAUCUGCAAGAGCUCAUGAUCGAAGGUUACGGGGCCACAAGUUUCCCGAGCUGGAUGUUAGAAGCUCACCUCUUUACAAAACUAAAGUCCCUUUAUGUUGGAAAUUGCCGACAUCUAGUUGUACUUCCACCAUUUGGAAAGAUCACUUCACUCAAGCAUCUCACUCUAAAUAACUUGCCGUCAGUGAAGCAAGUUGAUGGAACAUCUUUUGAUUGUUUCCCAAAUUUGGAAGACUUAAAAGUUUCUUUGAUGACAUCAUGGACAAACUGGUCACAUGCAGAAAGUGAUCAUGGCCCUCUACUUCAACGCGUCACAAGGUUUGAACUUCAUGAUUGCCCUUUGCUGAAAGAAGUGCCUUAUCUAUCAUUCAUGUCUUCGCUGUCAGAACUUGACAUCUCGGUUUGUGGAGACUUUGUCAAGGCACUGCCACAAUAUGUACAACUCUUGACACAUCUCAAAAAAUUAAGCAUGUCUUUCUGCGAUCACACACUCCUACUCUCUGGGCAACACUUGAAGUCACUUGAGUAUCUAUAUCUUAGAAAAUGUGGAGGGCUGCGUUUGAUUGAUGGGUUACACUGUUUCCCCAACCUCAGGAAAGUUAAUGUUUAUGGUUGCCCCAACAUUCUUACUGAAUUCUCCGACCAAUCAACUAUACAAGAUGAGCAGAGUGGACUUCGACUGACCAAUAUGGUUACAGAUUACAGCUUGUUCAAUAGAAAUUGUUUUCUGCCUUCGGUGCGAGAUCUGCUCAUCGCUUAUAUAGAUGACCUUUAUUUUACCCCAGAGCAGGAGGAAUGGUUUGAACAGCUAAUCUCUGUCGAAAAAAUCGAGUUUGGUUUCUGUAAUUUUCUGGAACGGCUCCCUACUACACUAGCAAGACUUACCUCAUUAACAAUACUUCAUCUCAAAUGGACAAGACCAGUUUUCCUGGAAGGAGUUGUACCACAGAACCUCCAAGAAUUGGUCAUGAAUGGCUUUUCGGGUGAGACAGAAAACAAUUUCAAACCUGGAGGAUCAGAAUGGGUAAACAUUUCCCAUGUUCCAUAUAUUCGGCUUAAUGACAAGACAGUCCAAAAUCUGUCAGUUAAUGCUGCCUCAUCAUCCUCAAACCACCAAAGUUAA